This 1910-nucleotide long non-coding RNA is filed under the name Mus musculus (house mouse). RNAcentral describes it as "long non-coding RNA chrX:159894167-159896077". Lineage: Eukaryota; Metazoa; Chordata; Mammalia; Rodentia; Muridae. The record is from RNAcentral.
GGAGCGUGUGGGGGGCUUUUGGGAUAACAUUGGAAAUGUAAAUGAAAUAAAUACCCAAUAAAAAAAAAGAAAAAAAAACAGCAGCAGCUUUGGCUGGGAUAGCUGUUACAGCAUUUCUAAGUGCAGUUUUCAGACACCAGCACCUGCAAAGGUUCAUCCUGACUUUAUUUGCUAUUCAUUUGGUUAUAGAAUAUGUUGAAGGAAAAAAAUUAGUCAUUAGUAUAGAAAAGUAUAUAAAUCAUUGCCUAAAAAGGCCAGGAGCUUUUAGGAGUAGAUGGGCUUCCUAGAACCACAGAAGAACGAAUGGCUUCUUUAACCUAGUGCGUGUUGCCAUUUGAAUAGGGCAUUUUCCUGAGUGGAUUUGUGUCCUUUUCCUGAGUAGGGCUGUUUUCUUGUGUCUCUGGGUCCUCCUCCCCACUUACCUCUGGACUGCAAGCGUUUCUUCCAACAUGGAGCCAGCAGGUAGUCCUCUUUCCUCCUUGCUAUCUCAUGAACCCUGCUGUGGAUGUGCCUACUUUAGUAGCUGGCUUCUGGGGUCAGGUGAUUCUGAGCAACAGUCUCUGCCAUACAGCAUAAUUGCAUCUCUUGGGGAGGAGUUAACAGACAGAGUUAGCAGAGCAGGUUGGUUGCUCCUGGGCUUCAGCUUCCACGGAGUGUAUGUGCAGCCCUCUUCCAAGCUCCAUGCAGAAGACACUCAUUAGUAAAUCUUCCACAACAAUUCUUUUUUGUGAGUGAACCGAGAGUGUGAGGCUCUCCUCGGGCACUCUGAGGCUCACUUGACAGCCUUGCUGAAACUGGUCAACACUCGGUUUCCCCUCAAAUCAUUACUCAGUCACCCGAGAUGCUCACAAAAGUCUCCAUGCUGGAUAAUUUCUAGAAAGUUGGUGCUAGGGAGUCAGCCGACCGCUAGGCAGGCUUGAUUAUAGUAGGUCUCUUUUCUUACCUUUGCAUUUGGGGGAUUGACAUAUGAUUUUCUAAGCUGUAUAUUUCCCUUUGAACUCAAACAAGACCUUUAUAAUCUCCGAGAAAAUGUGAUCAUAUCUUUCAAGGGUGAUUUUUAAGUUUUUUCUGUAACUACAGAUACUUUAAAAUUAAGUAAACAUCAGUAAGCCUAAAUAUAUAGGUAAAGCUUACCUUAGGGAACUAUCCUGUUUCUAUUUAACUUGAUCCCACUUCCAUUGUCAGAAAAUGGAAGUGUACACGUGUUCAGGGUGACUGGUGACUGGUUACUCAUUCCUGAAGAAAACUGAUGACCCUGUUCUCAGCGGGCAUUGUUGCUCUUCAUCUAGGAGCAGGCCGUGUGACAUUUCCAGCACAGGCAUAUUAAUUGGUGUUGUCAUUGUGCAGGUGUUAUCUAGGCAACCAUAUUGUUGAAAUUUUAUGGGUACAACUUUCCUUGUUAUAUCAAAUAUAUACUAUCAAACAACAGGCACCCAUGUCCUCUUACAAUAUUCCUGAUCACUUUUAUGCAGUGUUCCCUCAACCUAGGUGUAUAGGGAUUCUAUUGCGCAUAUACCAGUAGGCUGUGUGUGUGUGUGUGUGCAUGUAUGUACAUAUAUGUAUACAGUAAUAAUAAUUUCAAAAAAGAGGUCAUAAGUUUGAGAGGGAGCUGGAGCAUAAGAGGAGAUGGAGAGAGAGGGGUUGAAACGGUAUAAAUACAGUACUUCUUGUACAAAUGUCUCAAAAAAUUAAUGACUUACAUUUUUAACAAAAUGACAGUUGAGAGGUAUAGAAAAAAACAUUUUAAAGAAAGUUUAGGCCAUCCACCUGUUUAUCCAUUUAGCCAGAGCAGAAACCCAUAGCAAAAACCCUAUUGGGUUUUUGGUGGAUGUAGUGUGAAGAUGGGUCAUUUCUUUAAAAAAAAAAAGAAAGAAAGAAAAGAAAAGAAAGAAAGAAAGAAGGAAAGAAGG